This 253-nucleotide ribosomal RNA is filed under the name uncultured bacterium. RNAcentral describes it as "partial 16S ribosomal RNA". It matches the Rfam family "Bacterial small subunit ribosomal RNA", at positions 524 to 776 of the family's 1533-position model. The record is from RNAcentral.
UACGUAGGGGGCAAGCGUUGUCCGGAUUUAUUAGGCGUAAAGAGCGUGUAGGCGGCCAGGUAGGUCAGCUGUGAAAACUCGAGGCUCAACCUCGAGACGCCGGUUGAAACCAUCUGGCUAGAGUCCGGAAGAGGAGAGUGGAAUUCCUGGUGUAGCGGUGAAAUGCGCAGAUAUCAGGAAGAACACCCGUGGCUAAGGCGGCUCUCUAGUACGGUACUGACGCUGAGACGCGAAAGCGUGGGGAGCGAACAGG